AUGGCUGUCGUCAGCUCGUGUCGUGAGAUGUUGGGUUAAGUCCCGCAACGAGCGCAACCCUCACUUUUAGUUGCCAUCAUUAAGUUGGGCACUCUGAAAGAACUGCCAGUGAUAAGCUGGAGGAAGGUGGGGAUGACGUCAAGUCCUCAUGGCCCUUACGUGUUGGGCUACACACGUGCUACAAUGGUAUCUACAACAGGAAGCGAAACUGCGAGGUUGAGCAAAUCCCUAAAAGAUACCUCAGUUCGGAUUGCACUCUGCAACUCGAGUGCAUGAAGCUGGAAUUACUAGUAAUCGUGGAUCAGCGUGCCACGGUGAAUGCGUUCCCGGGUCUUGUACACACCGCCCGUCACACCAUGGGAGUUGGUUCUACCUUAAGGCAAGGUUUCAAACCCUUGACCACGGUAUAGUCAGCGACUGGGGUGAAGUCGUAACAAGGUAGCCGUAGGGGAACCUGCGGCUGGAUUACCUCCUUUCUAAGGAUGAAUGAAAGUAAAAUUUCAUUCUAAAUAAUAUACAUAGGUAAUGUUGACCGUCCUCAUUUCUCUUCUUAAAGUGAUGUUUCCUUCUUGUAGGGCCGGUAGCUCAGUUGGUUAGAGCACACCCUUGAUAAGGGUGGGGUCGAAAGUUCGAGUCUUUCUCGGCCCACCAUACUUAACUGGGGGAUUAGCUCAGCUGGGAGAGCGCCUGAUUUGCAUUCAGGAGGUCAGCGGUUCGAUCCCGCUAUCCUCCACCAGGAAACAUUUAGUUAUAAAAACCGUAAAUAAAUUUAAUAAUUAAUAUCAAUAUCUAUAUCCGAACAUUAGUAAUGUUAUUAGCUAAUGUUCAAAAUAAAAAUUUGAUCACAACAUAGAUAAUUUUUCUUUAAAAAGAAUUUUUUUCUGUGCAUAAAUCAAGCGUUUAAGGGCGUGUAGUGGAUGCCUUGGCACUGAAAGCCGAUGAAGGACGUGAUAUACUGCGAUAAGUUUCGGGGAGCUGUAUGUAAGUUUUGAUCCGAAAAUUUCCGAAUGGGGAAACCCGG
This 1021-nucleotide small RNA is filed under the name uncultured bacterium. RNAcentral's name for it is "bacterial SSU rRNA". The stretch from base 1 to 476 matches the Rfam family "Bacterial small subunit ribosomal RNA", at positions 1045 to 1533 of the family's 1533-position model. The record is from RNAcentral.